This 253-nucleotide ribosomal RNA is filed under the name uncultured bacterium. RNAcentral describes it as "partial 16S ribosomal RNA". It matches the Rfam family "Bacterial small subunit ribosomal RNA", at positions 524 to 776 of the family's 1533-position model. The record is from RNAcentral.
UACGGGGGGGGCAAGCGUUGUUCGGAAUUACUGGGCGUAAAGGGCUCGUAGGCGGCCAACUAAGUCAUACGUGAAAUCCCUCGGCUUAACCGGGGAACUGCGUCUGAUACUGGAUGGCUUGAGUUCGGGAGAGGGAUGCGGAAUUCCAGGUGUAGCGGUGAAAUACGUAGAUAUCUGGAGGAACACCGGUGGCGAAGGCGGCAUCCUGGACCGAUACUGAAGCUGAGGAGCGAAAGCCAGGGGAGCAAACGGG